AAUGAACGCUGGCGGCGUGGAUAAGACAUGCAAGUCGAACGGAGUUAGCAAUAAGCUUGCUUAAGGCAAACUCAGUGGCGAACGGGUGAGUAACACGUGAAUAAUCUGCCUUGAAGUGGGGGAUAGCCCUGGGAAACUAGGAUUAAUACCGCAUGUGGUCGAGAGACUAAAGCAGCAAUGCGCUUUGAGAUGAGUUCGCGUCCUAUUAGCUAGUUGGUGAGGUAACUGCUCACCAAGGCCUUGAUAGGUAGCCGGUCUGAGAGGAUGUCCGGCCACACUGGAACUGAGACACGGCCCAGACUCCUACGGGAGGCAGCAGUGGGGAAUUUUGGACAAUGGGCGAAAGCCUGAUCCAGCAAUGCCGCGUGUGUGAAGAAGGCCUUCGGGUUGUAAACUGCUUUUGUACGGAACGAAAAGCCCUGGGUUAAUACCCUGGGGUCAUGACGGUACCGUAAGAAUAAGCACCGGCUAACUACGUGCCAGCAGCCGCGGUAA
Molecule: ribosomal RNA, 495 nt
Filed under: uncultured bacterium
Lineage: Bacteria
Description: partial 16S ribosomal RNA
Rfam family: Bacterial small subunit ribosomal RNA
Source: RNAcentral